Molecule: ribosomal RNA, 1491 nt
Filed under: uncultured rumen bacterium
Lineage: Bacteria
Description: bacterial SSU rRNA
Rfam family: Bacterial small subunit ribosomal RNA
Source: RNAcentral
AGAGUUUGAUCAUGGCUCAGGAUGAACGCUAGCUACAGGCUUAACACAUGCAAGUCGAGGGGCAGCAUUAGAUUAGCUUGCUAAUUUAGAUGGCGACCGGCGCACGGGUGAGUAACGCGUAUCCAACCUUCCCCCUGCUCAGGGAUAGCCCGGUGAAAACCGGAUUAAGACCUGAUAGUUUCACUAGAUGGCAUCUGACGGUGAAUAAAGGUUUCGGCAAGGGAUGGGGAUGCGUCUGAUUAGCUUGUUGGCGGGGUAACGGCCCACCAAGGCGACGAUCAGUAGGGGUUCUGAGAGGAAGGUCCCCCACAUUGGAACUGAGACACGGUCCAAACUCCUACGGGAGGCAGCAGUGAGGAAUAUUGGUCAAUGGGCGGAAGCCUGAACCAGCCAAGUAGCGUGCAGGAAGACGGCCCUAUGGGUUGUAAACUGCUUUUGUGCGGGAAUAAAGUCAGGGACGCGUCCCUGUUUGCAUGUACCGCAAGAAUAAGGACCGGCUAAUUCCGUGCCAGCAGCCGCGGUAAUACGGAAGGUCCGGGCGUUAUCCGGAUUUAUUGGGUUUAAAGGGAGCGUAGGCCGUCCUUUAAGCGUGUUGUGAAAUGUAGGCGCCCAACGUCUGCACUGCGGCGCGAACUGGAGGACUUGAGUACGCGGGAAGCAGGCGGAAUUCGUCGUGUAGCGGUGAAAUGCUUAGAUAUGACGAAGAACUCCGAUUGCGAAGGCAGCCUGCUGUAGCGCCACUGACGCUGAUGCUCGAAAGCGUGGGUAUCGAACAGGAUUAGAUACCCUGGUAGUCCGCACGGUAAACGAUGGAUGCCCGCUGUUUGCGAUAUAGUGUGAGCGGCCAAGCGAAAGCGUUAAGCAUCCCACCUGGGGAGUACGCCGGCAACGGUGAAACUCAAAGGAAUUGACGGGGGCCCGCACAAGCGGAGGAACAUGUGGUUUAAUUCGAUGAUACGCGAGGAACCUUACCCGGGCUUGAACUGCCGGCGAACGAUACAGAGAUGUUGAGGCCCUUCGGGGCGCCGGUGGAGGUGCUGCAUGGUUGUCGUCAGCUCGUGCCGUGAGGUGUCGGCUUAAGUGCCAUAACGAGCGCAACCCCUCUCUUCAGUUGCCAUCACUUCGGGUGGGCACUCUGGAGACACUGCCACCGUAAGGUGUGAGGAAGGUGGGGAUGACGUCAAAUCAGCACGGCCCUUACGUCCGGGGCUACACACGUGUUACAAUGGGUGGUACAGAGCGUCGGCCGCCGGCAACGUCGGUCCAAUCGUGAAAUCCAUCCUCAGUUCGGACUGGGGUCUGCAACCCGACCCCACGAAGCUGGAUUCGCUAGUAAUCGCGCAUCAGCCAUGGCGCGGUGAAUACGUUCCCGGGCCUUGUACAUACCGCCCGUCAAGCCAUGAAAGCCGGGGGCGCCUGAAGUCCGUGACCGCGAGGGCCGGCCUAGGGUGAAACCGGUGAUUGGGGCUAAGUCGUAACAAGGUAGCCGUA